This 473-nucleotide ribosomal RNA is filed under the name uncultured Desulfobulbus sp. RNAcentral describes it as "bacterial SSU rRNA". It matches the Rfam family "Bacterial small subunit ribosomal RNA", at positions 916 to 1381 of the family's 1533-position model. The record is from RNAcentral. Lineage: Bacteria; Pseudomonadati; Thermodesulfobacteriota; Desulfobulbia; Desulfobulbales; Desulfobulbaceae.
CGGGGCCCGCACGAGCGGUGGAGUAUGUGGUUUAAUUCGAUGCAACGCGAAGAACCUUACCUGGUCUUGACAUCCCGGAGACCCUUAGGAAACUAGGGGGUGCUUCCAUCUGGAAGAAUCUGGAGACAGGUGCUGCAUGGCUGUCGUCAGCUCGUGUCGUGAGAUGUUGGGUUAAGUCCCGCAACGAGCGCAACCCUUGCCUUUAGUUGCCAGCAGUUCGGCUGGGCACUCUAAAGGGACUGCCGGUGUUAAACCGGAGGAAGGUGGGGAUGACGUCAAGUCCUCAUGGCCUUUAUGACCAGGGCUACACACGUACUACAAUGGCCGAUACAAAGGGCAGCGACACUGCGAGGUGAAGCCAAUCCCGUAAAAUCGGUCUCAGUCCGGAUUGGAGUCUGCAACUCGACUCCAUGAAGUUGGAAUCGCUAGUAAUCGUGGAUCAGCAUGCCACGGUGAAUACGUUCCCGGGCCUU